UUUCUCAUGUGCUAUUCUUUAUCUCUGAGAUUCAGACAGCUGCCUGGUAGGAGCAUGGCAGACUGCCUGGUCAGGGAGUGACCACAUUAGGCCUUGGAACUGGCUGACAGGAUAGUGCUGGGGUAGCCAGCCUAGAGAUUUGUGGAUGUUGUACUCAGGGGGAUGAGGGAAUUAGUACUAUUAAGUAACAGUUCGUCUUAAUAAUCUUGAUGGUCUUUUUCAACCUAAGUGAUCCUCUGUGGCUAACAAUGCCCAAUCCUGCAGGCCUUGAAAUGGGUGCACACAUUACUGCCCCACUACAUCAAAGGCAGACAGAGCCUUGCAAACCUGAGAGGCACAAUUUCAUGUAUGCAUGUGUGUGUGUAUGGAGAGUGAAAGAUACAUCUCCACUUCUGUUGAGCACAAUUGGUGUUUCAGAAAGAAAUGUAAUCUUAGCAGAUCUAAUUGUACAUCCAGGACAGAUAUAGCAAACAACUGUGGCUUAAAAUUCAAAAAACUAUUAAUUAGGAUAAUUCAAGAUAGGUUAGACUAGGAACAGCCAACCUCAGAGCUCCCAAAAGACCUGCCAAGUGCUAGAUGUCCAGACCCAAACAGAUAUGCAGCUGUGCAUGUGCCACAAGCUCUACCAGUUGCCUGCAUGGUGCCCUGGUCUCAACUGCACUACGAAGCAGUCAGCAGGUGCUUAUGAAUGACCAGGAGGCAGCCUUAAUGGUGCAGUCCUUCAGGGCCAUUUUUUGGAUCCCACUGGGCUCAGUGCAAUGUGAAACACAUGUUUCUCAAUUAAUUAAGGCACUUCAAUGUGUUCUUAAUAUUUUUUUUGGUUUUUUUGGACUUUUCAUGAGAAAGAACUGUAUAAAUUUAAGAUGCGAUCACAAAUGAAAUCCAGUACGAAUAGCUGAAGUCAAUCAGUUUCAGUAAACCCAAUAAGCUAUUGCAAAUACAUAAUUUUAUCCAAGAAUUUGGCUAGCACUAUUGGGAUAGUUUUAGAUGCAUUUGCUGAACUAUCCUAUAAUUAUAGAGAAGCUUUUGGAAAUGCUUUCCUCCCACUUUUUUUUUUUUUUUUGUGUGUCAUAAAAAACAGACAAAUGAGGCAAACUGCCAUUGGCCAGGAGAACUGGAUCCGUCUUUGUACUGACAGACUUUACAGGGUUGCAAAGAUUUGUUGUCUUUUUGACAACUAGCAAGAGAAUGCGUAGGUUUAGUUUUGAGGCUGUCCUGACAAGGGAUUUUCUGAGAAUUGAUUCUCUUGUGAGACUUCUGACAUGUAAUUUAAACCAUCCCUACAGCACAUAUCCUGGGCUCUGAUGUACUGUAUCCCAGUGAGUGGGUUUGGAGAAAGAAACAGCUGCUGGAAGAAGAGCAGGUGUCAUUUUCUCAGCAGGGAUAAAAAUGACUGAAAGAGAAAUCUCUUUGGCUGAUGAGAGAAAAAUUAGAAGAAAGCUGGUGAAAAAUCCUGCAUCCGAUCAAAUGUUUGAGAAUCCCUGAAAAAUGGAUUAUGAAGAGUUGUAUGUGAACUGUCAGUAGAGUGAGAGUGUGAAAUGCAUGAUGAGAUAGUGACUUGCUGAAGACUUUUUCAACAUUUCAAUCAAUACCUAUCAGAGGAACUAGAGGAACUCUUCAAAUAAUCUGAAAGUAAG
Tympanuchus pallidicinctus (lesser prairie-chicken) is the source of this 1637-nucleotide long non-coding RNA. RefSeq lists it as uncharacterized. The record is from RefSeq and is a predicted model, not a curated record. NCBI's taxonomy places the organism in Eukaryota, Metazoa, Chordata, Aves, Galliformes, Phasianidae. The transcript is spliced from 3 exons.